UGGAUAGCUCAGUCAGUAGAGCAGGAGACUUUUAAUUGCAGGGUUGUGGGUUCAAGCCCCACAUUGGGCAAAA
Podarcis lilfordi (Lilford's wall lizard) is the source of this 73-nucleotide non-coding RNA. NCBI's taxonomy places the organism in Eukaryota, Metazoa, Chordata, Lepidosauria, Squamata, Lacertidae. The record is from the annotation of a GenBank genome assembly.